RNAcentral lists this long non-coding RNA (1878 nucleotides) under Pandoravirus quercus. Its description in RNAcentral is "hypothetical ncRNA". The record is from RNAcentral.
GACCGCAAAGUGCGUCGUCAAUGUCGCCGCCGCAGGUAGCAACGUGGUCGGGCCAGAGGCCCAAUGAGACAAUAAAGAGGGCAUGGGCCGCACGGUCGACGCCAAAACCUCGCGCGCACACUCGCAUGGCGGCACGCAGCAAGUGUGUGGGUGGACGUGCGACCUCGCACAUGCGGGCAAGGGCACGCGCGCCAGACAAGAUAUCGAGGGCGCACGGCGCCAGCGUGAUGUCGAGAGCGCGCAGUGUCGGCGGGGUCACGUACGAGGCGCACAGGAGAAUGGCCAGAGCCGCAGCCGGCGUCGUCACAAUAGCCCUUGCCGGUGCGCCCUCUGCCAGCAACCAGGCGAUCGAGGCUGUUGCGCCGCCGGCGACCGCGCCCGCCAGCGCCGCCUCCCAAAAGCCCGCCUGCGACGAUGCCGGCCGAGGCUCGUCCUCGUCCCACAAACCAAAGUCAUCCGUGUCGUCCAUAAAACUGCUGUUGGCCUGCCAAAUCCAGUCGUCAUAGUCAUUACUGUCAUCGCCAUGGGUGUCAUCGCCUCGGUGAAUGACGCUAUUGAAUGAGUAGGCGGUUGGGGCCAGAGUCGGCACACCCCAACGGGCGAUUGCGGCCGCCGCCACGCGAGGCCGGUCCCGGUAAAAGGCCUCGCCGCACCACGCCGUGGCCUGUCUGUCCCAGGCGACAAAGUCGACGGCCCUCGUCAUGAUCUUGCAGGUCCGAGCACGCGCCGCCGUCUCGCGGGUCUCGACCACAAUGGUGCCGCGGUCAAGCAUGGCAAACAGAUGCGUCGCCAAGAGGUCAGAGGCUGCAUGCGACCGCGCCCGCAAACACGCAUACAGGACCUCGCGCCACGGCGGGCGCCCGACGCCAAGGCCCAAAAGCACGUCAAAGGCCUUGAUGGUGCUGUUGAUAUUGUCGUUGUCGUCUGCGCUGGCAAGCAGGGCAAUCAUGUCACAACGCAUGGGCGCGCUCAGCGUGAGCACGGACUCGCAACGCUCAAUGAGCCAGAGCGCCGCGGUCGGCCUCGCGGCGCGGCACGCCGCACGCACCAUGGCAUUGACCAGGUUUGGCGCGCGUGUGGCAAAAAGUCUAGACUCCAUCGCGUCCACAUCAAACCAGUCGCCAACAAUGGCCUUGUCGACGAUGUGCGGAUGAGCGAGGUGGCGAGACCACGCAUCGCGCAUGGCGGCCAGGUUGCCCGAGGCCAUCACCGCCGCCAGUGUGCCCAGGGCCAAGUCAUCACGCAGAGCGUCGGGCGUGCGCUGGCCCGGCCACCCGCUGCAUUGGUCGGGCACCAGCGCCAGCCACCAGUAAGCGGCGCCCGUGUCGGACGGCAGCAGGGCGACGGCAUCGCGCAGGGCCGACGCACAAAAGGCCCGACCGCGUGACCAUGUCACCGGUGACGCCCUAUGAGGGCGGGCACGUUCGAGCAGGGCGACGGCGGUCAACGACGGCGACGACACAACGCGCCGCCAGCGGUGGCAGGUCAUGGCCGCCACGGCGCGCCAUCGCGGCUCCAAGUAAAACCGGCCCCGGUCGAGCACGCCGUUGAGAAUCACGCAAAGGAUUUCGUCUGGCAGGCGCUCAAACAAGUCGCCCGACGGCAAUGGCGGUCGCUCGCAAUCUUUGACCUCGUAUAUGUCGUCGUCGUCGUCAUCGUCACCAUAUGCGCCAGUGCCAUCAUACACGUCGUCGGCAUCGUCGCGCCGUCUCUUUGCCAUCGGCGACGCUGCAGCCGAUGGAGCACUCAUGCCCCCGUGCGCGCACGGAUCGGUCCUUUCUGCGUGAGACCUCUUCAUCGUCGCGUGUGCGCAGAGUGGAAAAGAAUUGUUUUUCCAACGAGAAAAAAAAAGAGAUGACAAAUCGACCAGACACAAAG